RNAcentral lists this long non-coding RNA (421 nucleotides) under Homo sapiens (human). RNAcentral describes it as "HSALNT0059111". The record is from RNAcentral. Lineage: Eukaryota; Metazoa; Chordata; Mammalia; Primates; Hominidae.
CCAGAAUCAAGACAACUCACCAGAAAAAGGACUGAGAACUCCUUCUGGAUGAAGAUACUUCCUAGGUGCAAGAGAGUUGAGUGAAGGCUAAAGCUCUAUAACCAUUGAAAGCUGGCUGGGGGAAAAGAAGAAGAGGCAAAAAGAUCAACUGAAGAAUAAACUGCUGUCAUUGGCACAAAAGAAUACCACAAAGAUUAUUUACAAAACUCGAAUCAGGAGUAGAACAGACCUCCAUGUGGAAGUUCAAUUAUGCUAAGAGGAAAGAGGAAAGGGGAAGAGUUUACAGAAAUAAAUUAAUGAUGAUGAUAAACUAUUUUCAAGCCCUUACAUUUUUUUUUUUUAUGGAGUUUCGCUCUGUCACCCAUGCUGGAGUGCAAUGGCAUGAUCUCAGCUCUCUGCAAUCUCCACCUCCCUGAUUCAA